Molecule: ribosomal RNA, 253 nt
Filed under: uncultured bacterium
Lineage: Bacteria
Description: partial 16S ribosomal RNA
Rfam family: Bacterial small subunit ribosomal RNA
Source: RNAcentral
UACGUAGGGUGCAAGCGUUAAUCGGAAUUACUGGGCGUAAAGUGUGCGCAGGUGGCCGCGCAAGUCGAGUGUGAAAUCCCCGAGCUUAACUUGGGAAUUGCGCUCGAAACUACGUGGCUCGAGUGUGGCAGAGGAAGGUGGAAUUCCACGUGUAGCGGUGAAAUGCGCAGAUAUCGGGAAGAACACCCGUGGCUAAGGCGGCUCUCUAGUACGGUACUGACGCUGAGACGCGAAAGCGUGGGGAGCGAACAGG